Molecule: long non-coding RNA, 807 nt
Organism: Syngnathus typhle (broad-nosed pipefish)
Lineage: Eukaryota; Metazoa; Chordata; Actinopteri; Syngnathiformes; Syngnathidae
Exons: 2
Source: RefSeq, a predicted model, not a curated record
AGGCUUGCUGGUUGGUGGCGCGUCCGCAGCACCCAAGCCAAACUGGCUGAACUGGAAGCAGCCAAGCAUGAGGGGCCCCUGGAGCUAGGGGUGGUGGUCACGCUGCUGUUGCUGUCACCGUAGCGCUCGGAGUUACGCAGAAUGCUUCAGCCGUCACGCCAAAAUGGGAGUGGGAAUAUGAAACGUACGAGCUUUGAGAGACAGAAUGACAAUCCUUUGGAGAAAAACACCUUGUCCUAUUUGUUCAAACUGUCAGUGUGCUGACAGGAGUAGCCUAUAGAAAUGAAAUGUUCUGUGGGGGAAAAAAAAGUGACAUCUCUGGCCCCCGUCUUAUGUGAUUCAAUUCUUGAGAAACCUAGUGGGCGCCACCUCAAACUGGCCUUUUACUUGGGCUUCGUGCGCUUUGCUGAAUCUAUGGUGGAAUAUCCACCUAUGUGGACAGAAAAAUGCCCAUCCCUCGUAGCGUCAGGUGAGAGGACACAGAAGCGAUGCAGAAAUAGAAAAAUUUCACUUCGACAGAUACAUUGAUCAACUCUCUUUGACUUUUACUUUGUUACCCAAAAAAUAAAAAUGGCUGUGUAAUAUUCUCUUUCUGGUGAGCCUUUUGUGCUGUUUCAUAAAUAGAAAAUUAAGACAAUUUCCUGUGGCAGAAUUUGCCUUAAUUUGUUCUAUAAAGAUGCAAUUUAUUAUUGUUUUAGUUAAAGUGAUGUGGUUGGCCAGUUUCUGAAUUUACACAUUGCCAUUUUUAAUGUUGUCAUUUAAUUCUGUCAUGCUUUGAUUGAAAAAUAAAUCACAAGUUAUCAAUGA